RNAcentral lists this ribosomal RNA (613 nucleotides) under uncultured bacterium. RNAcentral's name for it is "bacterial SSU rRNA". It matches the Rfam family "Bacterial small subunit ribosomal RNA", at positions 338 to 951 of the family's 1533-position model. The record is from RNAcentral.
CCUACGGGAGGCAGCAGUAAGGAAUAUUGGUCAAUGGACGCAAGUCUGAACCAGCCAUGCCGCGUGCAGGAUGACGGCCCUCUGGGUUGUAAACUGCUUUUAUACGGGAAGAAACCUCUGGUUGCGAUCAGAGCUGACGGUACCGUAAGAAUAAGGACCGGCUAACUUCGUGCCAGCAGCCGCGGUAAUACGAAGGGUCCAAGCGUUAUCCGGAUUUAUUGGGUUUAAAGGGUGCGUAGGCGGCUUAUUAAGUCAGUGGUGAAAGACUUCAGCUUAACUGAAGAACUGCCAUUGAUACUGAUGAGCUUGAAUAUACUUGAGGUGGGCGGAAUGUGUCAUGUAGCGGUGAAAUGCUUAGAUAUGACACAGAACACCGAUUGCGAAGGCAGCUCGCUAAAGUAUGAUUGACGCUGAUGCACGAAAGCGUGGGGAGCAAACAGGAUUAGAUACCCUGGUAGUCCACGCCCUAAACGUUGAUAACUCGAUGUGUGCGAUAUACAGUACGCGUCCAAGCGAAAGCAUUAAGUUAUCCACCUGGGAAGUACGGUCGCAAGAUUGAAACUCAAAUGAAUUGACGGCUUGAGGACGNGCGAGGACGACACGAGGGAGGAGG